GAUGCAUGUCGGACAGUCGCGGCCUAUGUACGAAAGGAUAUAGGCUGAGGAAAGUCCGGGCUUCACAGGGCAAGGAUAACGGAUAACGUCCGCCGAGGGCAACCUUAGGGAAAGUGCAACAGAAAACAAACCGCCCGCAAGGGUAAGGAUGAAACGGCGAGGUAAGAGCUCACCAAUAUUCCGGAGACGGAAUAGUUUUGUAAACCCUAUCCGAAGCAACACCGCAUAUGGGGCAUAUAGGUCGGCCCGGCCGCUCCGAAGGUGGCUAGAGGUAUCCGGUAACGGGUAUCCCAGAUAGAUGACUGUCGAUUACAGAACCCGGCUUACAGACAUGCAUUACGA
This 342-nucleotide RNase P RNA is filed under the name Clostridia bacterium. RNAcentral describes it as "RNase P RNA component class A". It matches the Rfam family "Bacterial RNase P class A". From Rfam's summary of the family: Ribonuclease P (RNase P) is a ubiquitous endoribonuclease, found in archaea, bacteria and eukarya as well as chloroplasts and mitochondria. Its best characterised activity is the generation of mature 5'-ends of tRNAs by cleaving the 5'-leader elements of precursor-tRNAs. The record is from RNAcentral. Lineage: Bacteria; Bacillati; Bacillota; Clostridia.